Long non-coding RNA from Condylura cristata (star-nosed mole), 266 nucleotides. RefSeq lists it as uncharacterized. NCBI's taxonomy places the organism in Eukaryota, Metazoa, Chordata, Mammalia, Eulipotyphla, Talpidae. The record is from RefSeq and is a predicted model, not a curated record. The transcript has 3 exons.
GAUGACAACUUCUUUUGUCCCUUCUCAGUCUGUGUUCUCUCUGUUGAGGGAGUCCUGGAUAGAGUGGCAAUAUGAAAAGACUAUUUGGAGGAAAGUACUGAUUUCACUCCAUGUAAACCCUUUGAAGCUACAGAAGAACUACCCUGUCUUCUCCACUCCACCAUUAUGAAUCUUCCACAUGAAACUGAGAUCCUGAUCCAUGUCCUCUAGAGAGCUUGAAGAACCACCUGCUUAGCCUGUUAUCAGAGCAGAGGAACUUGAUUGCG